This is a long non-coding RNA of Solanum tuberosum (potato), 2046 nucleotides long. RefSeq lists it as uncharacterized. The record is from RefSeq and is a predicted model, not a curated record. Lineage: Eukaryota; Viridiplantae; Streptophyta; Magnoliopsida; Solanales; Solanaceae. The transcript has 4 exons.
CCUUCAACCCAGCGAGACCCAGAAACAAAAUCGCGCGGCAGCCUCGCGCGUGUUCUCUUCCUCUCUCUGUUUUAAAAGUAUAUUUCAAAUUAAAUCCAGGUGGAGCUAUUUCGCGCUUGCUUCCUCAUUUUCUCAAAAAUCAAUAUCCUCCAUUCAAAUCCGUUGAGAAUCGAGUCAGUCCUCCAAGAAAAUUUCAAAUUUCAAAUUUGAAAUUCACCCAAUUCUUCACCCGUUUCCCCCCUAAUUUCUGCCCCAAAUCCUCUCCUGGAGAUUUUUUUACACUGACUAAGGCACAAAUUUCUUAUUCCAAGAACAACAAUUUCAUCCUCUAAUACUAUAAGUUUAGAAAGGGGAAAAUCCCUAUAACAUCUUAGUUAAUUUAGAAGUAAAAGUUUACAAGUCUUGGUUGGUCGAAUUUGAAGGCAUUUCCGGCGAGAUUCCGUUGGUGGUGAGUUAGUUGCCUCAAAGUUCAUUGUCUCAGUCCGCUGCAUGCAUCCAGAAAGGAUGUUAAAGAAAUUUUGGAGCUUCUUCAAGUCCAUAUGGCGUAUUUUGGGAAUCACAGAAACCAUCCACUACAUGUGCUAUGCUUGGUUAUUAUUUCGACAGUUUGUCAUCACGGGAGAGCAAAUGAUCUUGCAAUAUGUCAUUGAACAGUUAAAAAAAAUACCAUUAAAGGAACAAAGGUGACCGCAAGAGAGAAUGCACUUGAAGAGUUUGCAUUGUAGAGUUGAAAGGGAAAGGGGAUUCCAAGAGUUGACUUUCUUGCAGUCUUUCUUGUUGCCAAUUUCAAAAUGGGCUGAUAAGUAGUUGGGAGACUACCAUCUCAAUUAUGAUGAGGGGUUGGUGAUUAUGGAAAACACUGUGGCAGUUGCUAUGCUUGUUCUCGAAGGCUUCUUCUAGAAGAACCUGAAACGGUAUGUGAGACUACCUACCUUUUCUGGUGAACUAUUUUAAGUUUGUUCUGGGAAAUCAAAUCAUAUGUUAUAUGUGCUGUCUGUGCAUUCACUAUAAACCAUAAGAUUUACAUACGUGGCCAUUCUUUCUUGCCUCUACUUCCAACUCCUGGCCAGCUAUUCGGGACCUCCACAUUAGUCUUUGGCGUCGCCCAGCUAAUCCCCAGAAUGCACAGAAACGUAUCCACAACCUUGCAGCUGUUUGACAGUGAAUAAACAGAUGAUUGUUUACCUCAUCUUCUUGUUCACACAUAAAGCAUCUCGAACAUAUAUGUUAGCCUCUUUUCUGUAAAGCUUCAUGAGUAAGGCAUGCUUUCCUAAUCAAUAGCCAAACAAAACACGUGACUUUCAAUGGACAUUUCACCUUCCAAAUUAGUUUCCAUGGCCAUCUCUCAGUCAAUGAAAUAUUAUAGUUCAUCUUCCAAUAGCAUGACUUCAAUGUGUAGAGUUGGGGCAGUGCUUGUUCAAAAACUAGUUAAAUUAGUUUCUUCAGUUGGUAGAAGAUCCUAACUGUAAAGUGCAACUCUAUGAUCAGUUAGAUUAAUUUCUUCAGAUAUUAGAGGACCCUAACUAUGAACAACAUCCGUACGCAAAAUGUGGCUCUUUAAAAUCUGUUCUCUAUUCUUGAAUCUUCAUUUUCUAUUUCUUAGCUACAUUUCAUUGUGAAAUCUUCAUUCUAUACAGCCUAAGGACAUCUUCAACCCUCUUCUCUAUUUUACUGUCCAAAUAUAGAGUUCUCUAUUUUCAACCAACUCCAACCCAAUUCUCUAUUUUACUCUCUAAAAAAGAAUCUUCUUCUCUCUCCUCAAUAUCGCAUAUCGCAUAUCACAUAUCAUAUAUCGCGUAUCGCAUAUAGCAUAUUGCAUAUCGCAUAACGCAUAUAGCAUAUCGCAUAGCGCAUAUCGCAUGUCGCAUAUAGCAUAUCGCUAGGGGUAUACAAAACCGAACUGAAAACUGAAUCAAACCGCAACCGAGUCUAACCGAAAAAACCCAACUAAUGGUUUUGUUUGACUUGAUUUAGUAUUGGAAAAAAAUCGGACUAUACUUGGGUUGGUUUAAUUUUAACUAAAAAAAGUCAACUCGAGACCAAACC